RNAcentral lists this transfer RNA (73 nucleotides) under Camelus bactrianus (Bactrian camel). It matches the Rfam family "tRNA". Rfam says of the family: Transfer RNA (tRNA) molecules are approximately 80 nucleotides in length. Their secondary structure includes four short double-helical elements and three loops (D, anti-codon, and T loops). Further hydrogen bonds mediate the characteristic L-shaped molecular structure. tRNAs have two regions of fundamental functional importance: the anti-codon, which is responsible for specific mRNA codon recognition, and the 3' end, to which the tRNAs corresponding amino acid is attached (by aminoacyl-tRNA synthetases). tRNAs cope with the degeneracy of the genetic code in two manners: having more than one tRNA (with a specific anti-codon) for a particular amino acid; and 'wobble' base-pairing, i.e. permitting non-standard base-pairing at the 3rd anti-codon position. The record is from Rfam by way of RNAcentral. RNAcentral also lists the same sequence under 2 other names. Lineage: Eukaryota; Metazoa; Chordata; Mammalia; Artiodactyla; Camelidae.
GAGGGUAUAGCCCAGUGGUAGAGCGCAUGCUUAGCAUGCAUGAGGUCCCGAGUUCAAUUCCCCAGUACCUCUA